RNAcentral lists this ribosomal RNA (468 nucleotides) under uncultured bacterium. RNAcentral describes it as "partial 16S ribosomal RNA". It matches the Rfam family "Bacterial small subunit ribosomal RNA", at positions 28 to 507 of the family's 1533-position model. The record is from RNAcentral.
GACGAACGCUGGCGGCGUGCUUAACACAUGCAAGUCGAACGGAAAGGCCCUGCUUUUGUGGGGUGCUCGAGUGGCGAACGGGUGAGUAACACGUGAGUAACCUGCCCUUGACUUUGGGAUAACUUCAGGAAACUGGGGCUAAUACCGGAUAGCAGCUCCUGCUGCAUGGUGGGGGUUGGAAAGUUUCGGCGGUUGGGGAUGGACUCGCGGCUUAUCAGCUUGUUGGUGGGGUAGUGGCUUACCAAGGCUUUGACGGGUAGCCGGCCUGAGAGGGUGACCGGCCACAUUGGGACUGAGAUACGGACCAGACUCCUACGGGAGGCAGCAGUGGGGAAUAUUGCACAAUGGGCGGAAGCCUGAUGCAGCAACGCCGCGUGCGGGAUGACGGCCUUCGGGUUGUAAACCGCUUUCGCCUGUGACGAAGCGUGAGUGACGGUAAUGGGUAAAGAAGCACCGGCUAACUACGUG